AUGCUGGCACCGGCAGCGAUGGAGGUGCCGAUUGAUGGCACGGUGAGCACCACGAUCGCGUCUGUGAACGCGGUGCACAAUCCACGGGCACGCAAGUUGCGGUCUGCUGUUUGGCAGGACUUCACCAAGGAGCGCCGUGCUGACGGCAAUUGUGUCGCUAUCUGUAACCACUGCAAGAAGCAGCUCACAGCAACCAGCCGGUCAGGCACCACACACCUACGCAACCACCUUGCGAUAUGCACCACCACCUCUACACGCCGUGCUGGUAAGCGUCGGAAGCUGAUUGUGCGCCGUAUUCUCCACAACAAAACAUCCACUGGGCAGCCUGGCGAUGGACAUGCCUCUGGUGAGGACAAUGACAAUGAUAGCACACACUUUGAUCAAGAACUCAGCCGGCAUGACCUUGCCCGUAUGAUUGUCCAGCAUGGCUACCGGUUUUCAAUAGUGGAUGAUCUGGGGUUUCGAAAGUUCGUCAAGAAUCUCCAGCCACAGUUUAGCAUGGUGUCAUAUGACAUAGUGAGAGCUGAUAGCAUGGCAAUUUAUGAAAGUGAGAAGCUGAAGCUCCAGGAUGUGCUCCUCAAGACCCCUUGCCGGGUUAGCAUGUCAGUUGAUAUGUGGCGAUCGAGUACACAGAUGGACUACUUGUGUUUGACCUGCCAUUACAUUGAUCAUUCCGGCGAUGAAUGGAAACUUAGGAAAAAAAUUCUUAACUUUGUGCAUGUCGAGGAACAUUUUACAGCCAAUCAGAUUGCCAAUCUCAUUCUGGAGAAGUUGCAGCAGUGGGGUAUUGAAAGGAAGCUAGCUGCUGUUGUGCUAGACAACUGCACUGCUGGUGACAUUGUUGCCACAGAACUUCUCAGAGUUAUGCAGCCUAGGAGACUUCUCCUGUUAAACGGAAAUUUGUUCCAUGUGCGCUCUUGUGCACAUAUUCUGAAUCUCACAGUUGAAGAAAGCUUGGAACAGACAUCUGACAUAAUAAAUAGAGUCCGUGAGAUGAUUCAGAAUGUCAAGUUCUCACAGGAAAGGCUUCAAAAGUUUCUCGAUACCGCAAAGCUGCUGCAGAUUGACCAAAAACUGUUAGUUCUUGAUUCUCCAAACAACUGGCCGUCCACUUACUUAAUGUUUGAUUCUGCAUGCUAUUAUCACGAUGUGCUUGUGCGCCUUGCAGAACAGGAAGCACAUUAUGCUGCUUUCUUGACCGCUAAGGAGUGGGCUGAUGUGAAAGCCCUCACUGAAAUACUUGACGCGCUCAAUAAUACAAUGGAGAAGUUUCCAGUGGAAAACCCGACCGCAAACCUAUAUUUCAAUGACAUGUGUGAGAUCCAGGUUCUUUUGAACACCUGGCGCAAUAGUCCAUCUCCUGUUGUUGCACAAGUGGCUGGCCGAAUGCUGAAAAAAUUCGAGGGAUACUGGGAUCUUACUAGGCCAGUAAUGGCAUUUGCAUCCAUACUGGAUCCUCGGUACAAGAUGAAGUCAAUUGAGUAUUUUUUUCAGCUGAUUUAUGGAAAUGACCAAUUUACAGCAAAGGCAACAAUAGAAGCCAUCAAGCAAAGCUUUACCAGCCUGUGCAAUGAGUAUGAACAUUCAGCAGAUUCAUUGAAGAAUCCAGCUGUUCUCUUCUACGCUGGAAACAGUAGUUCUUGCAUGAGCUCUGUGUACAACAAUGGAAAUGACUCUAAGACCUUCUCUCGCAUCACAUUAUCAGAUGCCCGACGGGGACUUGAUCAGUAUAUUCAGGAGUCAUCGUCAGGCCAGUCCUUCAAGUCUGACUUGGACUUGUAUCUUGAGGAAGCUGUCUAUCGUCAAAAGGAAGGGAAUCAAGAUAAUUUUGACAUCCUGGGAUGGUGGAAGUCUUUUGCGGCAAAGUAUCCUGUCCUUUCUCAAAUGGCCCGUGAUAUUCUUGCUAUCCCUGUAUCUAUCAUCCCACUGGACAGUGAAGCCCGGGUGCUGAAUGAGUAUCUCAGUACUAUGGACCCUUCAACGGUUGAGGGAUUGGUCUGCGCGCAAGAUUGGUUACGUGCAGACACAGAAGUUGCUAAUUCAGAUGGCCAUGUAGAUGAUAAAGUGCCACGUGGCGACGAACUUAUUGUGGCACCGAAUUAG
RNAcentral lists this ribosomal RNA (2103 nucleotides) under Triticum aestivum (bread wheat). RNAcentral describes it as "partial small subunit ribosomal RNA". The record is from RNAcentral. Lineage: Eukaryota; Viridiplantae; Streptophyta; Magnoliopsida; Poales; Poaceae.